CCUACGGGUGGCAGCAGUGGGGAAUAUUGGGCAAUGGAGGAAAGUCUGACCCAGCAACGCCGCGUGAAUGAUGAAGGCCUUCGGAUUGUAAAGUUCUUUUCUAAGGGAAGAAGAAAGUGACGGUACCUUAGGAAUAAGCCUCGGCUAACUACGUGCCAGCAGCCGCGGGAAUACGUAGGUGGCAAGCGUUGUCCGGAUUUACUGGGUGUAAAGGGCGUGUAGGCGGGAAGGCAAGUCAGAUGUGAAAUCCGGAGGCUCAACCUCCGACUUGCAUUUGAAACUGUUUUUCUUGAGUACUGGAGAGGCAGGCGGAAUGCCUUGUGUAGCGGUGAAAUGCGUAGAUAUAAGGAGGAACACCAGUGGCGAAGGCGGUCUGCUGGACAGCAACUGACGGUGAGGCGCGAAAGCGUGGGGAGCAAACAGGAUUAGAUACCCGUGUAGUC
RNAcentral lists this ribosomal RNA (443 nucleotides) under uncultured bacterium. RNAcentral describes it as "partial 16S ribosomal RNA". It matches the Rfam family "Bacterial small subunit ribosomal RNA", at positions 338 to 795 of the family's 1533-position model. The record is from RNAcentral.